This 639-nucleotide ribosomal RNA is filed under the name uncultured Actinomycetes bacterium. RNAcentral describes it as "bacterial SSU rRNA". It matches the Rfam family "Bacterial small subunit ribosomal RNA", at positions 232 to 885 of the family's 1533-position model. Lineage: Bacteria; Bacillati; Actinomycetota; Actinomycetes. The record is from RNAcentral.
CGCGGCCUAUCAGCUUGUUGGUGAGGUAACGGCUCACCAAGGCAUCGACGGGUAGCUGGUCUGAGAGGACGAUCAGCCACACUGGGACUGAGACACGGCCCAGACUCCUACGGGAGGCAGCAGUAGGGAAUCUUGCGCAAUGGGGGCAACCCUGACGCAGCAACGCCGCGUGUGGGACGACGGCUUUCGGGUUGUAAACCACUUUCAGUGAUGACGAAAAUGACGGUAAUCACAGAAGAAGGUCCGGCCAACUACGUACCAGCAGCCGCGGUAACACGUAGGGACCGAGCGUUGUCCGGAUUUAUUGGGCGUAAAGAGCUCGUAGGCGGUUCUGUAAGUCGGAUGUGAAAACUCAGGGCUCAACCCUGAGACGCCAUCUGAUACUGCAGUGACUAGAGUCCGGUAGAGGAAGAUGGAAUUCCUGGUGUAGCGGUGGAAUGCGCAGAUAUCAGGAGGAACACCAACGGCGAAGGCAGUCUUCUGGGCCGGUACUGACGCUGAGGAGCGAAAGCAUGGGGAGCAAACAGGAUUAGAUACCCUGGUAGUCCAUGCCGUAAACGUUGGGCACUAGGUAUGGGAUCAUAUCAACGGAUUCCGUGCCGUAGCUAACGCAUUAAGUGCCCCGCCUGGGGAGUACGG